Molecule: unclassified non-coding RNA, 293 nt
Filed under: air metagenome
Description: partial contains small subunit ribosomal RNA, internal transcribed spacer 1, and 5.8S ribosomal RNA
Rfam family: Eukaryotic small subunit ribosomal RNA (bases 1-46)
Source: RNAcentral
AAGUCGUAACAAGGUUUCCGUAGGUGAACCUGCGGAAGGAUCAUUACUGAGUCUUUGAACUGGGUUGAAGCUGGCCUUCCGAGGCAUGUGCUCGCCCCGCUCUUCAUCCACUCACCCCUGUGCACCUUGCGUUUGAGAUGUGAUCUGACCUUUCAUUAGGUAACCAGUAGGGAAACCUAUUUGGUGGGUCGCUCUUGGCGUAUUUUCAUACAAACUACGAAUGUCAUUAGAAUGUCUUCAGCCUACGGGCUUUAAAUACAAUACAACUUUCAACAACGGAUCUCUUGGCUCUC